This 261-nucleotide ribosomal RNA is filed under the name uncultured prokaryote. RNAcentral's name for it is "partial 16S ribosomal RNA". It matches the Rfam family "Bacterial small subunit ribosomal RNA", at positions 524 to 784 of the family's 1533-position model. The record is from RNAcentral.
UACGGAGGAUCCGAGCGUUAUCCGGAAUUAUUGGGUUUAAAGGGUGCGUAGGCGGCCAUUUAAGUCAGCGGUGAAAUUUUGCAGCUUAACUGUAACAGUGCCGUUGAUACUGUUUGGCUAGGAUUUGGUUGUAGUGUGCGGAAUGUGUGGUGUAGCGGUGAAAUGCUUAGAUAUCACACAGAACACCGAUUGCGAAGGCAGCACACUAAGUCAUUAUUGACGCUGAGGCACGAAAGUGUGGGGAUCAAACAGGAUUAGAUA